Molecule: long non-coding RNA, 8287 nt
Filed under: Panax ginseng (ginseng)
Lineage: Eukaryota; Viridiplantae; Streptophyta; Magnoliopsida; Apiales; Araliaceae
Source: RNAcentral
UAUUGAAUCGCGCACGAUUGCCAAACGAUAACCUUCUACAACCUGUUGAUUCUACGAAUACCAGCAAAUAGACAACAAAAUUCUAAUUCAAAGAAUUUUGGAAAAUAAGAAAAGUCUAUUAUUCAUAAAAACUGCUGCUUCCCACCAUAAAAAACGUUUAAAUAACAAAACCCUAAAAGCGUAAUCCAAAACAGAAAAGGAAAACUAAUAAGGAUAAUUAAAAAAAUAACCCGAUAACAAUAAAAUAUAAUUUUGAAGGCCUAAACGAUGGAAUUUGACCAAAAAACACUGCUGUUAACGAGCAUAAUGCUCGUGAUUUUGAUCGUUGGCCUGUUUCCAAUAAAAUUAGGCUCCGAAAAUGCAAAUAUCUGACAUUCCACAAUUGAAAUAAUUUACCAAAUUACCACUGGAUCAAAUCUUUCCAUAAACUGGAUCAAAUCUAUCAAAUCAUUCCAUAAACUGACACGCUUACUCUUCAACCGCAUCAGUGACCCCCUGAGAAAUCCUCGUGUUGCAACUCCUUUUAUAUUUUUUGUGUAAUUCGGUGGAAAAAAGAGCAUACUAGUGAACGUGUCUUGGUAAAUGCACAUGCACGACGUUAAUGUCACUACGUCCCACCCACAUGUUGGAAUAUAUGAAUAAAAAUGGAGAAUUCUAACGGGUGCGAUCAUACCAGCACUAAUGCACCGGAUCCCAUCAGAACUCUGAAGUUAAGCGUGCUUGGGCGAGAGUAGUACUAGGAUGGGUGACCCCCUAGGAAGUUCUCGUGUUGCACCCCUUUUUAUAUUUUUUUAUGAUAUUAGGUGAAAAAAAACGUACUAGUGAACGUGUCUUGGUAAACUCGCAUGCACCACGUAAAUGCCCCUGUGUUCCACUUAUAUGUGGGAAUAUAGGAAUAAAAAUGGAAAAUCCUAAAGAAUGCGAUGAUACGAGUACUAAUUUACCAGAUCCAUCAGAACUCCAAAGUUUAGCAUGCCUGGGCGAGAGUAGUACUAGGAUGGGUAACUGAUGUGGCGGAAGUACAACAAAAAGUUUUAUCAAUCGUUGAAUCGCGCACGAUUGCCCAACGAUAACCUUCUACAACCUGUUGAUUCUACGAAUACCAGCAAAUAGACAACAAAAUUCUAAUUCUGAAAAUUUUGAAAAAUAAGAAAAGUCUAUUAUUCAUAAAAACUACUGCUUCCCACCAUAACAAAAGUUUAAAUAACAAAACCCUAAAAGCAGAAUCCAAAACGGAAAAGAAAAACUAAUAAGGAUAAUUAAAAAAAUAACCCGAAAAUAAUAAAAUAUAAUUUUGAAGGCCUAAAUGAUAGAAUUUGACCAAAAAACCAUGCAGUUCAUGAGCACAGUGCUCGUGAGUUUUGACCGUUGACCUAUUUCCAAUGAAAUUAGGCUCCGAAAAUGCAAAAAUCCGACACUCCAAACUUCAAAGAAAUUACCAAAUUGCCACUGGAUCAAAUCUUUCCAUAAACUAGAUCAAAUCUAUCAAAUCCUUCCAUAAACUGACAUGCUUGCUCUUCAACAGCAUCAGUGACCCACUGAGAAAUCCUCGUGUUGCAACUCCUUUUAUAUUUUGUGUGUAAUUCGGUGGAAAAAAGAGCGUACUAGUGAACAUGUCUUGGUAAACGCACAUACACGACGUUAAUGUCACUACGUCCCACCCAUAUGUGGGAAUAUAUGAAUAAAAAUGGAGAAUUCUAACGGGUGCGAUCAUACCAGCACUAAUGCACCAGAUCCCAUCAGAACUCCGAAGUCAAGCGUGCUUAUGCGAGAGUAGUACUAGGAUGGGUGACCCCCUGGGAAGUCCUCGUGAUGCACCCCUUUUUAUAUUUUUUUUUGUGAUAUUCGGUGAAAAAAGAAUGUACUAGUGAACGUGUCUUGGUAAACUCGCAUGCACGACUUAAAUGCCCCUGCGUUCCACCCAUAUGUGGAAAUAUAGGAAUAAAAAUGAAAAAUCCUAAAGAAUGCGAUCAUACCAGUACUAAUUUACUAGAUCCAUCAGAACUCCAACGUUAAGCGUGUAUGGGCAAGAGUAGUACUAGGAUGGGUGACUGACGUGGUGGAAGUACAACAAAAAGUUUUAUCAAUCGUUGAAUCGCGCAAGAUUGCCAAACGAUAACCUUCUACAACCUGUUGAUUCUACGAAUACCAGCAAAUAGGCAACCAAAUUCUAAUUCAGAGAAUUUUGGAAAAUAAGAAAAGUCUAUUAUUCAUAAAAACUGUUGCUUCCCACCAUAACAAACGUUUAAUACCAAAAUCCUAAAAGCAGAAUCCAAAAGGUAAAAGGAAAAUUUAAAAAAUAACCCAAAAAUAAUAAAAUAUAAUUUUGAAGGCGUAAAUAAUAGAAUUUGACCAAAAAACCUUGCAGUUCACGAACAAAGUGCUGGUGACUUUUGAUCGUUGACUUGUUUCCAAUGAAAUUAGGCUCCGAAAAUGCAAAAAUCAGAUACUCCAAACUUAAAAGAAAUUACCAAAUUCCUACUGGAUCAAAUCUUUUCAUAAAUUAGAUCAAAUCUAUCAAAUCCUUACAUAAUCUGACACGAUUGCUCUUUAACCGCAUCAGUGACCCCUUGAGAAAUCCUCGUGUUGCAACUCCUUUUAUAUUUUUUGUGUAAUUCGAUGGAAAAAAGAGCGUACUAGUGAACAUGUCUUGGUAGACGCACAUGCAUGACGUUAAUGUCACUACGUCCCACCCACAUGUAGUAAUAUAGGAAUAAAAAUGGAAAAUUCUAACUGGUGCGAUCAUACCAGUACUAACGCACAGGAUCCCAUUAGAACUCUGAAGUUAAGCGUGCUUGGGCGAGAGUAGUACUAGGAUGGGUGACCCCCUGGGAAGUCCUCGUGUUGCACCCCUUUUUAUAUUAUUUUUUUGCGUUAUUCAGUGAAAAAAGAACGUACUAGUGAACGUGUCUUGGUAAACUCGCAUGCACGAUGUAAAUUCCCCUACGUUCCACCCAUAUGUGGAAAUAUAGGAAUAAAAUUGGAAAAUCCUAAAGUAUGCGAUCAUACCAGUACUAAUUUACCAGAUCCAUCAGAAUUCCGAAGUUAAGCGUGCUUGGGCGAGAGUAGUACUAGGAUGGGUGACUGAUGUGGCGGAAGUAUAACAAAAAGUUUUAUCAAUCGUUGAAUUGCGCACGAUUGCAAAACGAUAACCUUCUACAACCUGUUGAUUCUACGAAUACCAGCAAAUAGGCAACAAAUUCUAAUUUAGAGAAUUUUGGAAAAUAAGAAAAGUCUAUUAUUCAUAAAAAUUGCUGCUUCCCACCAUAACAAACGUUUAAAUAACAAAACCCUAAAAGCGAAAUCCAAAAUGGAAAAGGAAAACUAAUAAGGAAAAUUAAAAAAAUAACCCAAAAAUAUUAAAAUAUAAUUUUGAAGGCCUAAACGAUAGAAUUUGACCAAAAAACCCUGUAGUUUACGAGCAAAACGCUGGUGACUUUUUCUCAUUGACCUGUUUCCAAUGAAAUUAGGCUCCGAAAACGCAAAAAUAUGACACUCCAAACUUCAAAGAAAUUACCAAAUUGCCACUGGAUCAAAACUUUCCAUAAACUGGAUCAAAUCUAUCAAAUCCUUCCAUAAACUGACACGCUUGCUCUUCAACCGCAUCAGUGACACCCUGAGAAAUCCUCGUGUUGCAACUCUUUUUAUAUUUUAUGUGUAAUUCGGUGGAAAAAAAGAGUGUACUAGUGAACGUGUCUUGGUAAAUGCACAUGCACGACAUUAAUGUUACUACGUCCCACCCACAUUUGGGAAUAUAGGAAUAAAAAUGGAGAAUUCUAAUGGGUGCGAUCAUACCAGCACUAAUGCAUUGAAUCCCAUCAGAACUCCGAAGUUAAGCGUGCUUGGGCAAGGGUAGUACUAGGAUGGGUGACCCCUUGGGAAGUCCUCGUGUUGCUCCCUUUUUUAUAUUUUUUUUGUUGUGAUAUUCGGUGAAAAAAGAACGUACUAGUGAACGUGUCUUGGUAAACUCGCAUGGACGAAGUAAAUGCCCCUGCGUUCCACCCAUAUAUGGAAAUAUAGGAAUAAAAAUGGAAAAUCCUAAAGAAUCCGAUCAUACCAGUACUAAUUUACCAGAUCCAUCAGAACUCCGAAGUUAAGCGUUCCUGGGCGAGAGUAGUACUAGGAUGGGUGACUGACGAGGCGGAAGUACAACAAAAAGUUUUAUCAAUCAUUGAAUCGCGCACGAUUGCCAAACGAUAACCUUCUAUGACCUGUUGAUUCUACGAAUACAAGCAAAUAGGCAAUAAAAUUCUAAUUCAGAGAAUUGUAGAAAAUAAGAAAAGUCUAUUAAUCAUAAAAAUUGCUGCUUCCCACCAUAACAAACGUUUAAAUAACAAAACCCUAAACGCGGAAUCCAAAAUGGAAAAGGAAAACUAAUAAGGAAAAUUAAAAAAAUAACCCGAAAAUAAUAAAAUAUAAUUUUGAAGGCCUAAACGAUAGAAUUUGACCAAAAAACCAUGCAGUUCACGAGUAAGGCGCUCGUGCAUUUUGAUCGUCGACCUGUUUCCAAUGAAAUUAGGCUCUGAAAAUACAAAAAUCUGACACUCCAAACUUGAAAGAAAUUACUAAAUUGCCACUAGAUCAAAUCAUUCUAUAAACUUGAUCAAAUCUAUCCAAUCCUUCUAUAAACUAACACGCUUGCUCUUCAACCGCAUCAGUGACCCCCCUGAGAAAUCCUCGUGUAACAGCUCCUUUUAAAUUUUUUGUGAAAUUUGAUGGAAAAAAGAGCAUAAUAGUGAAUGUGUCUUGGAAAACGCACAUACACGACUUUAAUGUCACUACGUCUCACCCACAUGUGGGAAUAUAGGAAUAAAAAUGGAGAAUUCUAACGGGUGCGAUCAUACCAGCACUAAUGCAUCGGAUCCCAUCAAAACUCCGAAGUCAAGCGUGUUUGGGCGAGAGUAGUACUUGGAUGGCUGACCCCCUGGGAAGUCCUCAUGUUGCACCCCUUUUUAUAUUAUUUUUUUUACGAUAUUCGGUGAAAAAAGAACGUACUAGUGAAGGUUCUUGGUAAACUCGCAUGCAUGACGUAAAUGCCCCUGCGUUCCACCCAUAUAUGGAAUUAUAGGAAUAAAAAUGGAAAAUCCUAAAGAAUGCGAUCAUACCAGUACUAAUUUACCAGAUCCAUCAAAAAUCCGAAGUUAAGCGUGCCUAGGCGAGAGUAGUACUAGGAUGGGUGACUGACGUGGCGGAAGUACAACAAAAAGUUUUAUCAAUCGUUGAAUCGCACACGAUUGCCAAACAAUAACAUUCUACAACCUGUUGAUUCUACGAAUAUCAGCAAAUAGGCAACAAAAUCCUAAUUCAGAGAAUUUUGGAAAAUAAGAAAAGUCUAUUAUUUAUAAAAACUGUUGCUUCCUACCAUAACAAACAUUUAAAUAACAAUACCCUAAAAGCAGAAUCCAAAACGGAAAAGGAAAACUAAUAACGAUAAUUAAAAAAAUAACCAGAAAAAUAAUAAAAUAUAAUUUUGAAGGCCUAAACGAUAUAAUUUGACCAAAAACCAUGCAGUUCACAAGCUAGGUGCUCGUGAGUUUUGAUCAUUGACCUGUUUCCAAUGAAAUUAGACUCCAAAAAUGCAAAAAUACUACACUCCAAACUUAAAAGAAAUUACCAAAUUGCCACUGGAUCAAAUCUUUUCAUAAACUGGAUCAAAUUUAUCAAAUUCUUCCAUAAACUAACACGCUUGCUCUUCAACCGCAUCAGUGACCCCCCUGAGAAAUCCUCGUGUUGCAACUCUUUUUAUAUUUUUUGUGUAAUUUGGUGAAAAAAAAGAGCGUACUAAUGAACGUGUCUUGGUAAAUGCACAUGCAUGACGUUAAUGUCACUACGUCCCACCCACAUGUGGGAAUAUAGGAAUAAAAGUGGAGAAUUCAAAUGGGUGCGAUCAUACCAGCACUAAUGCAAUGGAUUCCAUCAGAACACCGAAGUUAAGUGUUUUUGGGCGAGAGUAGUACUAGGAUGGGUGACCCCUUGGGAAGUCCUCGUGUUGCACCCUUUUUAUAUUUUUUUAUGAUAUUCGGUGAAAAAGGAAUGUACUAGUGAAUGUGUCUUGGUAAACUCGCAUGCACGACGUAAAUGCCCAUACGUUCCAUCCAUAUUUGGAAAUAUAGAAAUAAAAAUGGAAAAUCCUAAAGAAUUCGAGCGUACCAGUACUAAUUUACCAGAUCCAUCAGAACUCCGAAGUUAAGCGUGCCUGGGCUAGAGUAGUACUAGGAUGGGUGACUGACGUGGCAGAAGUACAACAAAAAGUUUUUUCAAUAGUUGAAUCGCGCACGAUUGCCAAACGAUAACCUUCUACAACCUAUUGAUUCUAUGAAUACCAGCAAAUAGGCAACAAAAUUCUAAUUCAGAGAAUUUUGGAAAAUAAGAAAAGUCUAUAUUAGCAAAAUAACUCUCUUCAUGAAUAUGAAAGAAUAAUACCCCUUACCUCAAAAGAAGACUGGAUACUGGAAUAGUGAGGUAGCAGACUUCUCUUCUUCUUUCUCUCUAUAAUUUCUCUCUAUAAUAAUUGCUCUAUAGCUUUAGUGAAUUGGUGAGAAAUGAAGGAAGAAUGAGCUUCUAUUUAUAGGAAAAUAUAGUUUCGAUAAUUGCACGUUUUGGGGCUCGAAAUAUUACAGUAUAAUACCUUCCUCUUUUCCUUCAUUUUUAAUUUAGUCCUGCAAGUAUUAUCAAACUUGCACCACCUCCCCUAAUAGUAAAUCAUGUGAAUCAAUAGUAAAUCAUGUGAAUCAAUAGUUCUAGACAUGUGAAAAUACGAAUUACAGUAUAGUACCUCCAUCUAUACCUCCAUUUUUAACUUAGUCAUGCAAGUAUUAUCAAUCUUGCACCAACUCCCCUAAUAGUAAAUGAAUGUGAAUCAAUAGUACACACAUGUGAACAAAUAGUUAUAAUCAUGUGAAUCAAUAGCAAUUAAUUGCUCAUUUAUCCGGUUAAUUACCCGAUUGGUCAAUAUAACCUCCAGACAUCAAUUAUUAUCGAAAUAAAUGUCAAUUUUCACUAACACUAAUAAUUCCAACACAAUGGAACUAUCAAUUUCAUCUUUAAUCAACACGAACUUAUUCAUCAUUAAUAUUAUAAUUCAUAAUAUUUAACAACCAGGUCGUUCCCAGGAAAGAGGGGGCUUUCCGAUAAGGAUUUCUCCUUAUUGGCGCGCAAUUAGCUGACUGUGACACCCCCAAAUCCAGGUUACCUAACCCCCGAAUUUGGUGUUCACGGUCCACAAUAUAAUACCAUCUAACUACCCAUUUUAAUAUAAAUAGGAAUACAUAACUCAUUAACAUAGAUUGUUAAUACAUAAGUCUCAGGUCUACUAACCUUAACAUUACAAACAUACCCCUUUAGAUAUACAAAAAGGGUUUACAAUAUGACAUAAUUAUAAUAAUGUUCAUCAUAACUAAUUUAUUGCUAAACCUUUUCCCUUGCACUUCUUCGCAGCACCUUCUGCAACUUCAUCCCUGGCUGAAAAGUUUUAUUUAUAGCAAGGGUGAGCAACAAGUUUGCUCCGCAAGUUAAGAGAUACAAUAAAGAUAUAGAAAUCAAUAUCAAACCUUNNNNNNNNNNNNNNNNNNNNNNNNNNNNNNNNNNNNNNNNNNNNNNNNNNNNNNNNNNNNNNNNNNNNNNNNNNNNNNNNNNNNNNNNNNNNNNNNNNNNAUAUUUUUUGUGUAAUUCGGUGGAAAAAAGAGCGUACUAGUGAACGUGUCUUGGUAAACGCACAUUCACUUCGUUAAUGUCACUACGUCCCACCCACAUGUGGGAAUAUAGGAAUAAAAAUGGAGAAUUCUAACGGGUGCGAUAAUACCAGCAAUAAUGCACCGGAUCCCAUCAGAACUCCGUAGUUAAGCGUGCUCGGGCGAGAGUAGUACUAGGAUGGGUGACCCCCUGGGAAGUCCUUGUGUUGGACCCCUUUUUAAUAUAUAUUUUUUUUGCUAUAUUCGGUGAAAAAAGAGCGUACUAGUGAACGUGUCUUGCUAAAAUCGCAUGUACGACAUAAACGUAGAGGAAUUACAACGAAAAGUUUUAUCAAUUAUUGAAUCGCGCACGAUUGCCAAAUGAUAAACUUCUACAACCUGUUGAUUCUACGAAUACCAGUAAAUAGGCAACAAAAUUCUAGUUAAGAGAAUUUUGGAAAAUAAGAAAAAGUCUGUUGUUCAUAAAAACUGCUGCUUCACAUCAUAACAAACGUUAAAAUGACAAAAUCCUAAAAGCGGAAUCCAAAACGGAAAAGGAAACUAGUAAGGAAAAUUAAAAAAAUAACCCGAAAACAAUAAAAUGUAAUUUUGAAGGC